Molecule: ribosomal RNA, 1035 nt
Filed under: Alexandrium pacificum
Lineage: Eukaryota; Dinophyceae; Gonyaulacales; Pyrocystaceae
Description: partial large subunit ribosomal RNA
Rfam family: Eukaryotic large subunit ribosomal RNA
Source: RNAcentral
AUCAAUGAGGGUGAGAGUCCUGUUUGUCAUGUGCAGCCUUCUGUGCACGGUGUAUAUUUGCUGAGUCACACUCCUUGGCAUUGGAAUGCAAAGUGGGUGGUAAGUUUCAUGCAAAGGUAAAUAUGCAAUUGAGACUGAUAGCGCACAAGUACCAUGAGGGACAUAUGAAAAGGACUUUGAAAAGAGAAUUAAAUGAGUUUGUAUUUGCUAAACACAAAGUAAACAGACUUGAUUUCCUCAGUGAGAUUGUAGUGCUUGCUUAACAAUGGGUUUUGGCUGCAAGUGCAAUAAUUCUUGCUUUGUGUGCCAGUUUUUAUGUGGACAUUUGAUUACCUUUGCACAUGAAUGGUAAUUUUCCUGCGGGGUGUGGAUUGCAUAUGCAUGUAAUGAUUUGCAUGUUUGUUAAAUGUGUCUGGUGUAUUUGUUUGUGUCCUUGUCCUUGAGGUUGCUUUCUCCCUUGGGCUUACAUGCCCUGGCACACACAUUCUGGCAAAAUGCUUCUGCUUGACCCGUCUUGAAACACGGACCAAGGAGUCUAACAGAUGUGCAAGUUUGAAGGUGGUAUACCUGUGUGUGUAAUGAAAGUAUUGGCUGGGAUAUUUGCACCAGCAGCCGACUAAUUAGCAGACAGAGGUUUGAGUUGGAGCAUAUCUAUUAGGACCCGAAAGAUGGUGAACUAUGCUUGAACAGAAAGAAUUCAGAGGAAACUCUGAUGGAGGUUCGUAUCGAUACUGACGUGCAAAUCGUUCGUCAUAUUUGGGUAUAGGGGCGAAAGACUAAUCGAACCAUCUAGUAGCUGGUUCCCUCCGAAGUUUCCCUCAGGAUAGCUGGAGUUGCACAGUUUUAUCAGGUAAAGCGAAUGAUUAGAGGAAUUGGGGACAGAUGUGUCCUUGACCUAUUCUCAAACUUUAAAUGGGUAAUAUGUAGUGGUUGCUUGAUGGAACUUCUAAAAUGAAUGGCAAUAUUAGGUGGGCCAUUUUUGGUAAGCAGAACUGGCGAUGAGGGAUGAACCUAAUGCUGGGUUAAGGUGCUUAA